AAAAUACUCCCUCCAUCUGGAAAUACUUGUCAUCAAAAUGGAUAAAAGGAAAUGUAUCUAGACGUAUUUUAGUUUUAGAUACAUCUCUUUUUAUCCAUUUUGAUGACAAGUAUUUUCGAACGGGGGGAGUAGAAA
Non-coding RNA from Triticum aestivum (bread wheat), 135 nucleotides. The record is from Rfam. NCBI's taxonomy places the organism in Eukaryota, Viridiplantae, Streptophyta, Magnoliopsida, Poales, Poaceae.